Molecule: long non-coding RNA, 260 nt
Filed under: Ictidomys tridecemlineatus (thirteen-lined ground squirrel)
Lineage: Eukaryota; Metazoa; Chordata; Mammalia; Rodentia; Sciuridae
Description: lncRNA (ENSSTOG00000034882.1)
Source: RNAcentral
GCAGCACACACAGCGCUUCUGUUUUCUCCCGUUGGUUGAGACCGUCUGAAUGUGGGUUCUGCACCCUCCGGACUCAUUUGUUCCAGCAGACCCUCCUCCCUGGUGCCACCCAUCAGCUCCUCUGCUCCUUCUCCGCAGCUGUCACCCUCAGAACACGCAAAGCUUCCUGCCAAUUUGAAUGGGCACAUCCUGGGAUGCUGAGAUAACCCCAUGCUUGGAGUCACUCCUGGGAGUAAAAGCUACAAGACCCAUGCUAAAAU